GAACCUGCGGAGGGAUCAUUGCUGGAACUGUGUCCGCAAGGACACAACCCCAGAUACCCUUUGUGAACUUAUUCUUAUAUCGUUGCCUCGGCGUUGAGCUGGGGGCUUCUUUUCGAAGAAGCUCUCCCAUGGUUCCUCGUGGACGAUGGAGCAAGCCCGCCGGCGGCCCUUUUAAAACUCUUGUUUUUCUUACGUAUCUCUUCUGAGUUAUUCAAAACAAAAUGAAUCAAAACUUUCAACAACGGAUCUCUUGGUUCUGGCAUCGAUGAAGAACGCAGCGAAAUGCGAUAAGUAAUGUGAAUUGCAGAAUUCAGUGAAUCAUCGAAUCUUUGAACGCACAUUGCGCCCGCUGGAAUUCCAGCGGGCAUGCCUGUUCGAGCGUCAUUUCACCCCUCAAGCUAUGCUUGGUGUUGGAGCACUACCGUUUGCACAAAGCGGUAGGCUCUGAAAUUCAGUGGCGGGCUCGCUAAGACUCUGAGCGUAGUAGUUAAUCACCUCGCUUUGGAAGAAUUAGCGGUGCUCUUGCCGUAAAACCCCCAACUUCUGAAUUUUGACCUCGGAUCAGGUAGGAAUACCCGCUGAACUUAAGCAUAUCAAU
Molecule: ribosomal RNA, 598 nt
Filed under: Coniella sp. E8514b
Lineage: Eukaryota; Fungi; Ascomycota; Sordariomycetes; Diaporthales; Schizoparmaceae
Description: eukaryotic LSU rRNA
Rfam family: 5.8S ribosomal RNA (bases 231-384)
Source: RNAcentral